UACGUAGGUGGCAAGCGUUGUCCGGAAUUAUUGGGCGUAAAGCGCGCGCAGGCGGCUUCUUAAGUCUGAUGUGAAAUCUCGGGGCUCAACCCCGAGCGGCCAUUGGAAACUGGGAAGCUUGAGUACAGAAGAGGAGAGUGGAAUUCCACGUGUAGCGGUGAAAUGCGUAGAUAUGUGGAGGAACACCAGUGGCGAAGGCGACUCUCUGGUCUGUAACUGACGCUGAGGCGCGAAAGUGUGGGUAGCAAACAGG
This 253-nucleotide ribosomal RNA is filed under the name uncultured bacterium. RNAcentral's name for it is "partial 16S ribosomal RNA". It matches the Rfam family "Bacterial small subunit ribosomal RNA", at positions 524 to 776 of the family's 1533-position model. The record is from RNAcentral.